UUCAGUAAUUGUUGUUAUAUUUACAGAACACAAAUACACAAUUAAAUAUUUCUUCAUUAGUUUUCUGCUGUUUAAACUCAGUGAUGUUUCAGUAAAAACGUCUGACUCUGGAGCACAGUGUACUGUACACACUGCAGAAGACUGGAGGAGAAAUAACACUGAAUGGUGGAUUAGUGAUGAGAUUCAUCUCUACACUCAGAAACACAAUAUACAUGACACAUAAAGAUAGUAAAGAAUAACUUUUUAAUGCUGCUCACUUCUACAUCUCCAAAUACAAAUCCACACAUUAACUCAGUAGUAGUGUGAGAAUAACAGUAAGAUUGGGGAGUUGUGGUAAAGGUGUUUCCAUACUUAGAGGACACUUUGCAUUGGCAGCACAUGCUUCAGUGAUCUGGGAGUGUUUAUAGUGCUGUGACUUUAACACUUCAUGACUGAGAGCUGCUGCUACAGCAACUUCACCCACAGCUACCAUGACUUUGAUCCCCGUCUUCAUCUGGACACUGAUCCUCUGGACUCAAGAAUGCAGAGGUCAAGCCACAGUAACUCAGACUCCUGCAGUGAAAUCUGUUCUUCCAGGAGAAACAGUCACCAUCAACUGUAGAACCAGUCAGGCAGUGUAUAGUAACUCAGAUGGUCACUUCUUACACUGGUAUCAGCAGAAACCUGGAGAAGCUCCUAAACUCCUGAUUAAGCUCGCAAAUCAGAGACAGUCAGGUUUUCCAGCUCGUUUCAGUGGCAGUGGAUCUGGAUCUGAUUUCACUCUGACCAUCAUUGGAGUCCAGACUGAAGAUGCAGGAGAUUACUACUGUCAGAGUUACCAUGAAAUCUCUGGCUACUGGUUCACACAGUGUUAUAGAGUCGUACAAAAACCUCCCUCAGUCAGAUUGAAGAGAGACUGAACUGCUGCAGCUGGGAGCGACUGCAGGUGCUGAGUUGGAGGAUGUGAUACGACACAAUGACACUCUGUGGAGGAGAAGAACCACAUCACACUAACUCACAACUCACAUUAGAGAUCUCUUAAUAAUCAUCACACCAAACUGAACACAGUCCAUUAUGUUGUUGUUUUCUGCAGUCAUGGUCCUUACUCUUACUAUUGGAAACAUCAAGUAUCUGAUCAUCACAUUUAUUUAUCUUCCAUUUUAUGCCCCAAACUCCAUCUAAUCUAUCUUGUUCACAAAUAUUGUUUUUCAUAUUUCAUGAAUUUUCGAUCUUGCAUCAAAAUUCCCAUCGCAUCACCUCUUGAAAACCCACAGCAUCUCCACAACACACUCUUCAUAAUGCUCAGGUUUCCUGUUGUUCUGAUAUUUUUUACUAAUAAGUGCUUCUUUUGUACUGAUGUUUCUACACAAUGACUCACUGUGGUGUUUGACAUUAACUCCACAUUUUCGGAAAACAUUUAAUUUAAAAACUAAUUCUGAUAAUAAUCCAGUGUAAGUGUAACUGUAACAACCCUAAAAUAAGUUUCAUUUACAAAGACAGCGAACGUAAUGAUGUUAAUUUGUGUAAAAUCAAACUGAAUUAAUCUGCUAUUUAAAUUAGUAGUAAUAAUGUUAAUAAUAAUAAUAGUUAAUAAUAAUAAUUAAUAUUAAUAGUUGACAUUUCAUUGGUGGUGUUUAUUGACUCUUGGUUGCUGUGUGAUUGUUUAAUAUUUAGAGAUAAUUUCCCUCUACAUUUAUUGCCCAACAGGUUAUGCACUAGAUUAUUUAUUUUAUUAGAUAUUUGUAAAGUAUUGUUGGUAAUUUGCUGUUUUCUUUAUUGGCAAAUAUUAUAAAGUGCCAGAGCAAUGAAAUAAACAUAUUUAAAUAUGAAAUUAAAUCAAAUGAAGUAUCAGUCUACAUAGUUCAGCCAUACUAACUGAGUCAAACCAAACUCAUUUGUCAAACUUUAUUUAUGAUAUAAGAAAUCAGCAUUUUCCAACAUCAGGCUCAAAAUAUGCAGAUCAGAUUUUAUUCGUAUAUUUCAGGCAGAGUAGCGAGUUCAGCUUUUUGCAACUUUGGUGGCUGAGAUUCAUCAGGGGACUACCAAAUAAUCAGGUUAACAAUCUUUUUUUUUUGAUCAACAUUUUUUAUUAUUAUUUACUUAUUGCAAAACACCAAACUAUAUACAUCAGAUGCCAUGAUUAAGAGAUAUUGUACAACAUUAUAUAACACAAUAUUAAGUUCAAAGCCCUUGUAGUCAUUUAAGUUGCUGUCAGUGUUUCAAUUUGUCCAGUAAAAUUUCAGCUAUGUC
This is a non-coding RNA of Tachysurus fulvidraco (yellow catfish), 2229 nucleotides long. The record is from the annotation of a RefSeq genome assembly. NCBI's taxonomy places the organism in Eukaryota, Metazoa, Chordata, Actinopteri, Siluriformes, Bagridae.